This 1625-nucleotide ribosomal RNA is filed under the name Salmonella enterica. RNAcentral's name for it is "partial 23S ribosomal RNA". It matches the Rfam family "Bacterial large subunit ribosomal RNA", at positions 1 to 1566 of the family's 2925-position model. Lineage: Bacteria; Pseudomonadati; Pseudomonadota; Gammaproteobacteria; Enterobacterales; Enterobacteriaceae. The record is from RNAcentral.
GGUUAAGCGACUAAGCGUACACGGUGGAUGCCCUGGCAGUCAGAGGCGAUGAAGGGCGUGCUAAUCUGCGAUAAGCGCCGGUAAGGUGAUAUGAACCGUUAUAACCGGCGAUACCCGAAUGGGGAAACCCAGUGUGACUCGUCACACUAUCAUUAACUGAAUCCAUAGGUUAAUGAGGCGAACCGGGGGAACUGAAACAUCUAAGUACCCCGAGGAAAAGAAAUCAACCGAGAUUCCCCCAGUAGCGGCGAGCGAACGGGGAGGAGCCCAGAGCCUGAAUCAGCAUGUGUGUUAGUGGAAGCGUCUGGAAAGGCGCGCGAUACAGGGUGACAGCCCCGUACACAAAAGCGCAUGUGCUGUGAGCUCGAUGAGUAGGGCGGGACACGUGGUAUCCUGUCUGAAUAUGGGGGGACCAUCCUCCAAGGCUAAAUACUCCUGACUGACCGAUAGUGAACCAGUACCGUGAGGGAAAGGCGAAAAGAACCCCGGCGAGGGGAGUGAAAAAGAACCUGAAACCGUGUACGUACAAGCAGUGGGAGCCCCACCACCAAAGCAUUCUCUGGUGUUGAAGGCCCUGCAAAGCAGCAUCGCGGUGGCGGAGCGUCGUUUGCGACGCCCAACACACAAAACAAGCGGUGAGUGCUUUGGGGUGGGGUGACUGCGUACCUUUUGUAUAAUGGGUCAGCGACUUAUAUUCUGUAGCAAGGUUAACCGUAUAGGGGAGCCGUAGGGAAACCGAGUCUUAACCGGGCGUUAAGUUGCAGGGUAUAGACCCGAAACCCGGUGAUCUAGCCAUGGGCAGGUUGAAGGUUGGGUAACACUAACUGGAGGACCGAACCGACUAAUGUUGAAAAAUUAGCGGAUGACCUGUGGCUGGGGGUGAAAGGCCAAUCAAACCGGGAGAUAGCUGGUUCUCCCCGAAAGCUAUUUAGGUAGCGCCUCGUGAAUUCAUCUUCGGGGGUAGAGCACUGUUUCGGCUAGGGGGUCAUCCCGACUUACCAACCCGAUGCAAACUGCGAAUACCGGAGAAUGUUAUCACGGGAGACACACGGCGGGUGCUAACGUCCGUCGUGAAGAGGGAAACAACCCAGACCGCCAGCUAAGGUCCCAAAGUCAUGGUUAAGUGGGAAACGAUGUGGGAAGGCCCAGACAGCCAGGAUGUUGGCUUAGAAGCAGCCAUCAUUUAAAGAAAGCGUAAUAGCUCACUGGUCGAGUCGGCCUGCGCGGAAGAUGUAACGGGGCUAAACCAUGCACCGAAGCUGCGGCAGCGACACUGUGUGUUGUUGGGUAGGGGAGCGUUCUGUAAGCCUGCGAAGGUGGCCUGUGAGGGUUGCUGGAGGUAUCAGAAGUGCGAAUGCUGACAUAAGUAACGAUAAAGCGGGUGAAAAGCCCGCUCGCCGGAAGACCAAGGGUUCCUGUCCAACGUUAAUCGGGGCAGGGUGAGUCGACCCCUAAGGCGAGGCCGAAAGGCGUAGUCGAUGGGAAACAGGUUAAUAUUCCUGUACUUGGUGUUACUGCGAAGGGGGGACGGAGAAGGCUAUGUUGGCCGGGCGACGGUUGUCCCGGUUUAAGCGUGUAGGUGUGUGUUCCAGGUAAAUCCGGUUCACUUUAACACUGAGGCGUGA